Molecule: transfer RNA, 84 nt
Filed under: Candidatus Woesebacteria bacterium GW2011_GWF1_31_35
Lineage: Bacteria; Candidatus Woeseibacteriota
Also listed under: 2 other names
Description: tRNA-Leu
Rfam family: tRNA
About the family: Transfer RNA (tRNA) molecules are approximately 80 nucleotides in length.
Source: RNAcentral
GUCGGAGUGGCGAAAUUGGUAGACGCGCAGGAUUUAGGAUCCUGUGGAGGCAACUCCUUGCAGGUUCAAGUCCUGUCUCCGACA